GAUGAACGCUGGCGGCGUGCCUAAUACAUGCGAGUCGAGCGAACGGACGAGAAGCUUGCUUCUCUGAUGUUAGCGGCGGACGGGUGAGUAACACGUGGAUAACCUACCUAUAAGACUGGGAUAACUUCGGGAAACCGGAGCUAAUACCGGAUAAUAUUUUGAACCGCAUGGUUCAAAAGUGAAAGACGGUCUUGCUGUCACUUAUAGAUGGAUCCGCGCUGCAUUAGCUAGUUGGUAAGGUAACGGCUUACCAAGGCAACGAUGCAUAGCCGACCUGAGAGGGUGACCGGCCACACUGGAACUGAGACACGGUCCAGACUCCUACGGGAGGCAGCAGUAGGGAAUCUUCCGCAAUGGGCGAAAGCCUGACGGAGCAACGCCGCGUGAGUGAUGAAGGUCUUCGGAUCGUAAAACUCUGUUAUUAGGGAAGAACAUAUGUGUAAGUAACUGUGCACAUCUUGACGGUACCUAAUCAGAAAGCCACGGCUAACUACGUG
RNAcentral lists this ribosomal RNA (497 nucleotides) under uncultured bacterium. RNAcentral's name for it is "partial 16S ribosomal RNA". It matches the Rfam family "Bacterial small subunit ribosomal RNA", at positions 28 to 507 of the family's 1533-position model. The record is from RNAcentral.